RNAcentral lists this long non-coding RNA (1295 nucleotides) under Gossypium barbadense (sea-island cotton). Its description in RNAcentral is "long non-coding RNA (GBAR_LNC023249)". The record is from RNAcentral. Lineage: Eukaryota; Viridiplantae; Streptophyta; Magnoliopsida; Malvales; Malvaceae.
UAAUAGUUAUGAUAGUAUAAAAUUGCUUUGAAUCAUAUUCGGGCAGUUUUUACCAUUUCUUUUUAUCCAGAAUUUAGGAAUAGGCUUUGAAAUUGGCAAUUAAGAAAAAGAGAAUGGCUGUGAAUAGUACCUUAAAACAGAGAGGAAGAAUAGGUUGGCUGAGAAAAAAAUGGUUUGGCACCAACAAUGAUGCAACUAAAUUGUGCUGACGCUCAUAAAAGACCUGCCUUCCAGAGAUUCUAACCUCAAAUGAAUCAUAAAAGGGUUUGGGAAACUUAGGAUAAGACAGCUCCACACUGACGACUAAAAGACCCUGGUAGUGGUUCCACUUUUGGACCUGUAUCUUUGAAUUUUGGGCCAAAGUUAUCCAUAUCUACAUUUGCCGUCCAUGCCCAAGUUGGAGUAGUUUAUUAGGUUUGUUCUAAGUUGCCAAAGUUUGUGGACUAUUUAGGGAAAUUAUCGAAACCGACUGAAAAUUAGAUUUAAACCACUUUAACUUUGGUUAAUCUAUUUAGGACUGCCUAGAACUGCAGUAUUAGAUUUGUCAUCAGUACGAUGGAAUUCACAUUUCACUUUUAGAAUACAGAAUGUACAUAGUUCUGAGAUAAUCAUUUCACAAUGACUUUUGCACUUUAAUUUUGACUUAGGCUCAUUUUUCUAUAGGAGCAUUUGAUUUCGAUUAAGUUCCAUUUGUUAUAAGAGAGGGCUUUAAGCUCAUUAUAUAGGAAUGCUGGUACAGCACUUUUCUCGGUUGUGUUCAUGCUUACCUUUCUCCUGCAUUGUGGGCUAAAUAUAUAGUGAGUGCUCUUGUAGGAUAAAGCAUUUCGCAUCUUUAUAUUUUGGGGCUCUUUGCUUAUUUAGAUUUGUCAUCAGUACGAUGGAAUUCACAUUUCACUUUUAGAAUACAGAAUGUACGUAGUUCUGAGAUAAUCAUUUCACAAUGACUUUUGCACUUUAAUUUUGACUUAGGCUCAUUUUUCUAUAGGGGCAUUUGAUUUCGAUUAAGUUCCAUUUGUUAUAAGAGAGGGCUUUAAGCUCAUUAUAUAGGAAUGCUGGUACAGCACUUUUCUCGGUUGUGUUCAUGCUUACCUUUCUCCUGCAUUGUGGGCUAAAUAUAUAGUGAGUGCUCUUGUAGGAUAAAGCAUUUCGCAUCUCUAUAUUUUGGGGCUCUUUGUUUAUUUAGCAAUUAAAAUCCAAUUUGCCUAAGCCCUGAUCUGAUUUUUAAACUGGAUUAUUUUUGAGGGUUCAGAAAACUUAAUUGAGUCAUUGCUUUUGCAUUUUAGCCUUGCAAGAAC